GACGAACGCUGGCGGCGUGCCUAAUACAUGCAAGUCGAGCGCUGAAGGUUGGUACUUGUUCCAACUGGCUGAGCAGCGAACGGGUGAGUAACGCGUGGGGAAUCUGCCUUUGAGCAGGGGAUAACAUUUGGAAACGAAUGCUAAUACCGCAUAAAAACUUUAACCACAAGGUUUAAGUUUGAAAGAUGAAAUUGCUUCAAUUAAAGAUGAUCCCGCGUUCUAUUAGCUAGUUGGUGAGGUAAAGGCUCACCAAGGCGAUGAUACAUAGCCGACCUGAGAGGGUGGUCGGCCACAUUGGGACUGGGACACGGCCCAAGCUCCUACGGGAGGCAGCAGUAACGAAUCGUCAGCAAUGGACGAAAGGCUGACCGAGCAACGCCGCGGGAGGGGAGGAGGUUGUCGGAUCGGAAAACUUAGUUGGUAGAGAAGAACGAUGGUGAGAGUUGAAUGCUCACGUAGUGACGGUAACUACCCAGAAAGGGACGGCUAACUACGUG
RNAcentral lists this ribosomal RNA (497 nucleotides) under uncultured bacterium. RNAcentral describes it as "partial 16S ribosomal RNA". It matches the Rfam family "Bacterial small subunit ribosomal RNA", at positions 28 to 507 of the family's 1533-position model. The record is from RNAcentral.